This 631-nucleotide ribosomal RNA is filed under the name Salmonella enterica. RNAcentral describes it as "partial 23S ribosomal RNA". The record is from RNAcentral. Lineage: Bacteria; Pseudomonadati; Pseudomonadota; Gammaproteobacteria; Enterobacterales; Enterobacteriaceae.
GUUAUCACGGGAGACACACGGCGGGUGCUAACGUCCGUCGUGAAGAGGGAAACAACCCAGACCGCCAGCUAAGGUCCCAAAGUCAUGGUUAAGUGGGAAACGAUGUGGGAAGGCCCAGACAGCCAGGAUGUUGGCUUAGAAGCAGCCAUCAUUUAAAGAAAGCGUAAUAGCUCACUGGUCGAGUCGGCCUGCGCGGAAGAUGUAACGGGGCUAAACCAUGCACCGAAGCUGCGGCAGCGAACGUAUCACUUAAAGCGAUUCAGCGGAUGACGAUUGACGGAGCGAAGCGACGUCAAAGCGUAUACAAAGUCGAGUCGGUUUAAGGAUACGUUCGUUGGGUAGGGGAGCGUUCUGUAAGCCUGYGAAGGUGKSYYGUGAGGSWUGCUGGAGGUAUCAGAAGUGCGAAUGCUGACAUAAGUAACGAUAAAGCGGGUGAAAAGCCCGCUCGCCGGAAGACCAAGGGUUCCUGUCCAACGUUAAUCGGGGCAGGGUGAGUCGACCCCUAAGGCGAGGCCGAAAGGCGUAGUCGAUGGGAAACGGGUUAAUAUUCCCGUACUUGGUGUUACUGCGAAGGGGGGACGGAGAAGGCUAUGUUGGCCGGGCGACGGUUGUCCCGGUUUAAGCGUGUAGG